AUUGAACGCUGGCGGCAGGCCUAACACAUGCAAGUCGAACGAGUGGCGGACGGGUGAGUAAUGUCUGGGAAACUGCCUGAGGGAGGGGGAUAACUACUGGAAACGGUAGCUAAUACCGCAUACCAUCAGAUGUGCCCAGAUGGGAUUAGCUUGUUGGUGGGGUAACGGCUCACCAAGGCGACGAUCCCUAGCUGGUCUGAGAGGAUGACAAGCAACACUGGAACUGAGCCAGGGUCCAGCCUCCGACGGGAGGCAGCGUGGGGGAAUAUGGCCCAAUGGGCGAAAGCCUGAUGAAGCCAUGCCGGGUGUAUGAAGAAGGCCUUGGGGUUGUAAAGUACUUUCGGCGGGGAGGCGUUACCCGAAGAAGAAGCACCGGCUAACUCCGUGCCAGCAGCCGCGGUAAUU
Molecule: ribosomal RNA, 405 nt
Filed under: uncultured bacterium
Lineage: Bacteria
Description: partial 16S ribosomal RNA
Rfam family: Bacterial small subunit ribosomal RNA
Source: RNAcentral